Molecule: ribosomal RNA, 403 nt
Filed under: Verrucomicrobiota bacterium
Lineage: Bacteria; Pseudomonadati; Verrucomicrobiota
Description: Verrucomicrobia bacterium partial 16S ribosomal RNA
Rfam family: Bacterial small subunit ribosomal RNA
Source: RNAcentral
UGGGGAAUAUUGCACAAUGGGCGCAAGCCUGAUGCAGCAACGCCGCGUGAACGAUGAAGGCCUUCGGAUCGUAAAGUUCUGUUGCAGGGGAAGAUAAUGACGGUACCCUGUGAGGAAGCCCCGGUUAACUACGUGCCAGCAGCCGCGGUAAUACGUAGGGGGCUAGCGUUUUCCGGAUUUACUGGGCGUAAAGGGUGCGUAGGUGGUCUUUCAAGUCGGUGGUUAAAGGCUACGGCUCAACCGUAGUUAGCCUCCGAAACUGGAAGACUUGAGUGCAGGAGAGGAAAGUGGAAUUCCCAGGGUAGCGGUGAAAUGCGUAGAUAUUGGGAGGAACACCAGUAGCGAAGGCGGCUUUCUGGACUGCAACUGACACUGAGGCACGAAAGCGUGGGUAGCAAACAGG